GNNGAGGGUGGCGGAAUUUCCAGGUGUNGGAGNGAANUNCGUAGAUAUNUGGAGGNACACCNGGUGGCGAAGGCGGCCACCUGGACGGUAACUGACGNUGAGGUGCGAAAGCGUGGGUAGCAAACAGGAUUAGAUACCNUGGUAGUNCCACGCNGUAAACGAUGGGUGCUGGGUGCUGGGAUGUAUGUNNUCGGUGCCGUAGNUAACGCGAUAAGCACCCCGCCUGGGGAGUACGGUCGCAAGGCUGAAACUCAAAGAAAUUGACGGGGGCCCGCACAAGCGGUGGAGUAUGUGGUUUAAUUCGAUGCAACGCGAAGAACCUUACCCAGGCUUGACAUCUAGGGAACCCUUCGGAAAUGAAGGGGUGCCCUUCGGGGAGCCCUAAGACAGGUGCUGCGUGGCUGUCGUCAGCUCGUGCCGUGAGGUGUUGGGUUAAGUCCCGCAACGAGCGCAACCCCUAUCUUCAGUUGCCAGCAGGUAAGGCUGGGCACUCUGGAGAGACCGCCCCGGUCAACGGGGAGGAAGGUGGGGACGACGUCAAGUCAUCAUGGCCCUUACGCCUGGGGCUACACACGUACUACAAUGGCGCGCACAAAGGGUAGCGAGACCGCGAGGUGGAGCCAAUCCCAAAAAACGCGUCCCAGUCCGGAUUGGAGUCUGCAACUCGACUCCAUGAAGUCGGAAUCGCUAGUAAUUCGAGAUCAGCAUGCUCGGGUGAAUGCGUUCCCGGGCCUUGUACACACCGCCCGUCACACCACGAAAGUCGGUUUUACCCGAAGCCGGUGAGCUAACUCGCAAGAGAAGCAGCCGUCUACGGUAGGGCCGAUGAUUGGGGUGAAGUCGUAACAAGGUAACAAUCACUAGUGAAUUCGCGGCCGCCUGCAGGUCGACCAUAUGGGAGAGCUCCCNACNC
This 913-nucleotide ribosomal RNA is filed under the name uncultured Bilophila sp. Its description in RNAcentral is "bacterial SSU rRNA". It matches the Rfam family "Bacterial small subunit ribosomal RNA", at positions 651 to 1533 of the family's 1533-position model. The record is from RNAcentral. Lineage: Bacteria; Pseudomonadati; Thermodesulfobacteriota; Desulfovibrionia; Desulfovibrionales; Desulfovibrionaceae.